AUUGUACAUCAGGGGCUGUUAUAGAUCGUUUCAUUUCAUGGCCAAACUCAUUCAAUACGAACAGAUCAAAACUCUGAGCACAUGAAUGCUUUGGAAUGGAAUUCACGGGUGCCUCAACUAAGUCUUGCCCAAGUAGUUCAGCUCAGAGUGGUCAGUGGCCCAGUUUCGUUUGGUUGAAGGUUCACAAUACAUUGUUGCGUUUGGCCACCAGAAGAAUACAGUUGUUAUUCUUGACAUGCAUGGAAGUUUUUAUAGAUGCCAAUUUGAUCCUACAACUGGUGGGGAGAUGACGCAACUGGAAUAUCGUAAUUUUGUGAAGCCUGAAGACUCUCUCUAAGCACUUGAAAAAACAUGAACAGAAGUAUGUUAUAUAUUCAUGGGCUGCCUGCAUAAAUGGUAAAUAAUUUUGUAAAUAUUUACUUAACUGUUGUGAACUUAUAUGCUGCUUUCUGACUUUAAAAAUGUGCAGUGCUUCCUUAAAGGUUCAAAAUCUCAUUGGUGUUUGUUUUCUUUGAGUGGAGAAGCUGCACGCGGGCUAUUAUAUCUACUAACAAAGGGCAGCCCUUUGUUGAUAAUUGGAUUCUGGCGAACUGAUUCGAGGUGUGUAUGUUAUCUCAGUAGAUCAACAUUACCUAUGACAACUGAGAGACACGAGGUGAGCCAUGGUCCCGUGGAUUUCCUUCCAAGAAGUGUGCUGCUCACCACAGAGAAAAAGUACUCAGUUUUUGGUUCCAUUUUGACAAUUGGAGCAAUGGUAGGAGCAUUCGUGCAUGGUAAAAUAGUAGAUCAACUUGGGCGGAGAAUGGUUUCUUGGUUGCUUGAUGUUGGACCACUAUUGAUUGGAUAUGGAAUUGAGGUACCAGUUUACAUAGCAGAACACCUCAAAACCUUCGCGGAGCUUUGACCAUUGUUAAUCAGCUGAUGAUAUGUGUUGGAGUAUCUGUAAUGUGGUUUAUUGGAACAUUCAUUCCUUGGCGCACCCUAGCUCUAAUUGGUAAAGUUGUUCAAAUUUCUACCAAUCUUGAAGAUAUACCAAUUUCAUAAUUUGUGGAGUUGGCAAAGUGGGCGGGCUACAGGUCAUUUGGGAGUGGAUAUUGGAUAUUGAUCGAUAAACUACAUUUUCUUCAUAGUGAGACAAACAUGUAUUCUGCUCUUUUAGUUUUGCUUGAAUCAUUUGAUAAUUGAGGUAAGUCAUUUCAUUAUUUUAUUUCAGUCGUUUGGAUGCAAGAUAACACAUGUUUUGGUAAGGAGAUAUUAUUCAGGGAUGAGCUCGGUACCAACUGGUACAGGUACCAAAAAUACUCGGUACGGUACGGUUCGGUACCGGCACAGACCAGUAUUUGAUGGUCAAAAUCGGUAAAUACCUGUAUCAAACUGGUACCGAAAACGCCCAUUGUCAGUACCGAAAACAUUUUGUUUCGGGAAAUUCGGUACCAGUAAGAGCAGUUGAAAAGGUUCACUAAAAGCUAUGAAGGUUGUUUACUAGAAUCUCCUGAUUCUUUUGAUGCAGAACACGGUGGAUGCAACAAUGAAGUGUAUUCUUAAUCAAGCGCAGCAAAAGCUUCUGGUAUUUGAGAAAUUCGAACAGUUGAGCAACAAAGUGAUGGAACAUGGUGAAUUUAGGAAAAACCAUUGUUUUCAUCAUUCAUCAACCAAGCGUAGACAUAUUUGAAGCUUUUGAUGAGUUUUGUAUUGUUUUUGAUGAAAAGAGGUGGAUAAGAGCUAUAAGUUGGAUCCGUUGAAUUAAUCAAAUACUUCAAGGUUUUCUGAAUGAUUAUCAUUACUGAUAUAUUAGAAGGUGUCCUAAUGAUCUGGUGCACUACAACUUCUAAAGUGUUCUUUUGUAUAAUCAAUACUUCAUGGUGGAAACCCAGUCAAUUGAAUCUUUGGUUUCCCAACACGCAAUAUCUGGUGACUCGGCCUUUUCUUUCACAAAGGUAAUUUUCAAAUUAGUUUUUGGUUCUUUCUUAUUGUGUGAGAUGCAAAUAGAAGGCGUAAAGAAUGAAGAUAACUUCUGGAAGUGGUGCAUGCAUUGUUAUACUUUAUAACUCUAUAAUUAGUACUUAAAAAUUGGUUAUCUAAAAAAGGAUGUUGAUGGAUAUGAGAUGCGAAUCAGGUUGUAAAUUGACACGAAUAGUAGAUGAGGGAGUUUCAUGAAUAUAGAGGAAGUGAUGCCAUAGAGGUUGUUGGUAGAACAAUAUAGCUUUAAGAAGUUGUAAAAUUGCCCGAGCCAUAGCCUUGAAUUGAGUUGCAUGAGUAUAGAGGAAGUGAUGCCAUAGAGGUAAUAUACAAGUAUUGAUCUUGAUAUGUUCAUGUAACAUGUUGCAUCACAUCUUUUACCAAAACUCCUUUUGACCCGCGCUGACAUGUCCAAGAAAAGAGAAUACAAAAACUAUUUUGCAGCCAACCUGUACACUUUUGAAC
This 2424-nucleotide long non-coding RNA is filed under the name Helianthus annuus (common sunflower). The record is from RNAcentral. Lineage: Eukaryota; Viridiplantae; Streptophyta; Magnoliopsida; Asterales; Asteraceae.